UACGUAGGGUGCAAGCGUUAAUCGGAAUUACUGGGCGUAAAGCGUGCGCAGGCGGUUAUGUAAGACAGUUGUGAAAUCCCCGGGCUCAACCUGGGAACUGCAUCUGUGACUGCAUAGCUAGAGUACGGUAGAGGGGGAUGGAAUUCCGCGUGUAGCAGUGAAAUGCGUAGAUAUCAGGAGGAACACCGGUGGCGAAGGCGGAUCUCUGGACCAGUUCUGACACUGAUGAGCGAAAGCCAGGGGAGCAAACAGG
This 253-nucleotide ribosomal RNA is filed under the name uncultured bacterium. RNAcentral's name for it is "partial 16S ribosomal RNA". It matches the Rfam family "Bacterial small subunit ribosomal RNA", at positions 524 to 776 of the family's 1533-position model. The record is from RNAcentral.